UUUCCGUAGGUGAACCUGCGGAAGGAUCAUUCAUAAUAAGUGUUUUAUGGCACUUUUUUAAAUCCAUAUCCAUCUUGUGUGCAAUGUCAGGGUUGAUUUUUCUCUCGAGAGGAUCAACCCCAAACAUCAACUAUAUCUUAACUCUUUGUCUGAAAAAUAUUAUGAAUAAAACAAUUCAAAAUACAACUUUCAACAACGGAUCUCUUGGCUCUC
This 213-nucleotide unclassified non-coding RNA is filed under the name plant metagenome. Its description in RNAcentral is "partial contains small subunit ribosomal RNA, internal transcribed spacer 1, and 5.8S ribosomal RNA". The record is from RNAcentral.